RNAcentral lists this long non-coding RNA (590 nucleotides) under Polistes fuscatus (common paper wasp). Its description in RNAcentral is "uncharacterized LOC122525895". The record is from RNAcentral. Lineage: Eukaryota; Metazoa; Arthropoda; Insecta; Hymenoptera; Vespidae.
GUCCCUAUGUAUACGUAGUUGAUUCCUCACGAAGGGUUGAGAGAUCAAUAUGCGCUCAUUGAUUGCACCGGUAGCUCUACUGCGUCGGCUUCGUCGUUACCUUCUUUCUUAACCGUUAAAUACGAAAUACCUACUUACCUAUCUACUACUUUACAUCCUAACAUACAUUUCCAUCUAAUUUACAUCGGAAAUAUUUCCAAUAUAAAUCUGACUACUAUUUUCGUUCCUAGAAAAACAGUAGCCAUUUUGUUUUACAUUCAAAUUAUUAAAAGCAUUCAAAAAAUUAAUUGAAAUACAAAUUGUUCUCUACGUUAUUGUCAUGCGAUAGGAUUAUCUUUUAUUUGUUUAUUCGUUUUUUUUUUUUGUCAAACAAUGUACCAUUGUCGGUAAUAAAUUUCCGCAAGUUUCUAACCUCUAAUUUUUAAACUCGUUUAUGUCUUUGAAACGGAUUAGUACAAUUAAAAGGGUAUUCGGACAUUUGAUGAUAUCUAAGAUUCAAUUAUAUGCAAUUAAUGAAAACGUUAGUUUAUUAAUGGUUAUAUUUUGAAAUAAGAUCGUUAAUUGACCUAACACUGAAGCGUAGUAUUGUA